AUGGGGAGAUUCACCGACAGCGGCGUCGGCCUCCCGUUGGCGCGCGAUGACUCGAACGCGUAACCUCGCGGUUUCGUGGCUCGGGCACGCCGUCUUCGGCGAACGUCCGGCGUCGUAGUCGUGCACUUCUCCCCUAGUAGAACGUCGCGACCCGUCGGGUGUCGGUCUACGGCCCGAGUGGGCGCCUGUCACGUCGCUUCUCGCGCACGUGGCAGACCCUCGGUAGCCUGGCCGGCUGCUCGGCGGUACUCGUACGGUAUCGGGCCGCAACCAAUCCAUCUCGAAUGUGUGUGCGUCAGGCCCGCCGCAAGCUCGGUCAUCAAACCCGAAGGCACGGCCUUUGUGCCGUCCCCGGGAAUGGCCAGCUGUUAGCAGGCGGUGUCCUUGGACUGGCCAAAGCUCUUCCAAAUACCGGUCGGCGACGCUAUUGCUUUGGGUACUCUCAGGACCCGUCUUGAAACACGGACCAAGGAGUCUAACAUGUGCGCGAGUCAUUGGGAACGCAAAACCUAAAGGCGAAAUGAAAGUGAAGGUCGGCCCUCGCGCCGACCGAGGGAGGAUGGGCCGCGUACCCAUGCGGCUCCGCACUCCCGGGGCGUCUCGUUCUCAUUGCGAGAAGAGGCGCACCCAGAGCGUACACGUUGGGACCCGAAAGAUGGUGAACUAUGCCUGGUCAGGACGAAGUCAGGGGAAACCCUGAUGGAGGUCCGUAGCGAUUCUGACGUGCAAAUCGAUCGUCGGAACUGGGUAUAGGGGCGAAAGACUAAUCGAACCAUCUAGUAGCUGGUUCCCUCCGAAGUUUCCCUCAGGAUAGCUGGCACUCGUCUGAGCGAGUCUCAUCUGGUAA
Molecule: ribosomal RNA, 847 nt
Filed under: Aphilanthops foxi
Lineage: Eukaryota; Metazoa; Arthropoda; Insecta; Hymenoptera; Crabronidae
Description: eukaryotic LSU rRNA
Rfam family: Eukaryotic large subunit ribosomal RNA (bases 342-847)
Source: RNAcentral